This is a long non-coding RNA of Callithrix jacchus (white-tufted-ear marmoset), 1748 nucleotides long. RefSeq lists it as uncharacterized. The record is from RefSeq and is a predicted model, not a curated record. NCBI's taxonomy places the organism in Eukaryota, Metazoa, Chordata, Mammalia, Primates, Cebidae.
UUUUUUUGAGACGGAGUUUCGCUCUUGUUACCCAGGCUGGAGUGCAAUGGCGCGAUCUCGGCUCACCGCAACCUCCGCCUCCUGGGUUCAGGCAAUUCUCCUGCCUCAGCCUCCCGAGUAGCUGGGAUUACAGGCGUGCGCCACCAUGCCCAGCUAACUUUUUGUAUUUUGAGUAGAGACGGGGUUUCACCAUGUUGACGAGAAUGGUCUCGAUCUGUUGACCUCGUGAUCCACCCGCCUCGGCCUCCCAAAGUGCUGGGAUUACUGGCUUGAGCCACCGCGCCCGGCCCAUAUUUAAGAAUAUGUGAAGCCUUUAGAACAAAGGUGCAGGAUUACCUGGCAAUGAUGAAACCAGUUCUGUGACACAUAAAUAGUAACAUUCUAUAGAGAGAAAAGAUCACUUUUAAAGGGUCCGACAGUAUAAUGGUUAAAAGAAGUAGUAUAAUGGUGAAUGUUUAACAACUAGCCUGGGAGGUGGAGGUGUAAGGUACUUAGUAGAAUGUUUGCUCAUUUCCAUGGUAUAAGUACUUUCAUCACAGUCACUUUCAGGUUACAGAUAUGAUGUCACGAAACACGGAGUCUGGAAAAGUUUUAAGCUCAAUGAAAAGAAGUAGUAUGAAAAAUGCAAUUCUAGUGUAAUGGCAGGGAACAUCUUAAUGGAAGCCAAAAGCAUAAACUGAAAUGAAGAAAAAUGAUAGAAAUACUAACAUUCCAAAAAUUCUCUUAUAUUACAACACCAGUAAACUAUUCUCAUAUCAGAACCAUGAACAUAGAACAAAGAACCAUAAUAGUGAAAAUACAGAAGACAAAAUGACAUCUCAUUUAGAAGAUUAUGAAAAUCAGGAAACUAUCUCCCAAGCAGAAAUCAAAAAGAAGGAAAAAUUGAUUUUUAUAAUUAUAAAGGUCGGCAACAAAGUUAUUGAGUUCAGUAAGUACUGUGAUCUUUGAUUAUGGUCUUCCCUGGGAAAUAAUUUUGUUCAACACUGUUUAAUAAAAAUUUUUUUUUGAAACUGUUUCCUUUAAUUUUACAGCAAAUCACACAGAACAUAAAAAUGAUACUUGAGCAGACAUUUUGAAAAUAAAAUGAUCAAACUAUUAUGAGACUCUGGAUUGGCUAUUCCAAGACUAAACAGUUGUAUCUGUUGUUUCAUUUAAGCUGUUUUAACAAGAAAGUCAUUACUUACCACAGAUGUGUUUCCAGACCAGAUGUAUACAAUGAGAACCAUUGAAUGUCAUGAAGACUCCACAGAACACAAGAAAUCUAUAUUAAUACUUGGAUUACAAGUAAAUCAAUUACAAAUGCAUCUACUUUAAUGUCUUCAAUAGGAGAUAAGAAACAAAUAACAUUCAGUGUUAUUUUGAAGAGUUUAACAAAACAUAAUGAGGAUUAAUACAUUUUUAAGUGAAAGACUCGCACUUCAGAGGUAACAAUGAAGAUUGACUUUCUUCAGAUUUCUAAAUUUGCUCCAUUUUUACAACAACAGUUGGGAAAAUGUCAAAAUUAAAAAGAAAUAAGUGUGACAUACCUAAAAGAGUUUAAGAAUUAAUUCUAAUAAUGGUAAAAUGUCUAUAAAAUGAAGUGAUAAACAGACAAACAAAAAGGACACGAAAUACUAAUCCUUGUUCUACCUUCUAAACUGGAUACAAAACACUAAUUAAAUAGCAACUAUUGUACUCUCCUGUUUUAACUAAAAAACCUGAUGAAUUUUUUUUCUAUUAAAAACCACCUAAUUAUCUGUGACUUUAAA